GAACUGCCAUUGAAACUGGGGAGCUUGAAUACAGAUGAAGUAGGCGGAAUGAGUAGUGUAGCGGUGAAAUGCAUAGAUAUUACUCAGAACACCGAUUGCGUAAGCAGCUUACUAAACUGAUAUUGACGCUGAGGCACGAAAGCGUGGGGAGCGAACAGGAUUAGAUACCCUGGUAGUCCACGCAGUAAACGAUGUUCACUCGCUGUUUGCGAUAUACCGUAAGCGGCUUAGCGAAAGCAUUAAGUGAACCACCUGGGGAGUACGUCGGCAACGGUGAAACUCAAAGGAAUUGACGGGGGCCCGCACAAGCGGAGGAACAUGUGGUUUAAUUCGAUGAUACGCGAGGAACCUUACCUGGGCUUAAAUGUAGAGUGCAUGAGGUGG
RNAcentral lists this ribosomal RNA (384 nucleotides) under uncultured bacterium. RNAcentral's name for it is "bacterial SSU rRNA". It matches the Rfam family "Bacterial small subunit ribosomal RNA", at positions 618 to 1003 of the family's 1533-position model. The record is from RNAcentral.